RNAcentral lists this ribosomal RNA (466 nucleotides) under uncultured bacterium. RNAcentral's name for it is "partial 16S ribosomal RNA". It matches the Rfam family "Bacterial small subunit ribosomal RNA", at positions 28 to 507 of the family's 1533-position model. The record is from RNAcentral.
GACGAACGCUGGCGGCGCGCCUAACACAUGCAAGUCGAACGAGCGAGAGAGAGCUUGCUUUCUCGAGCGAGUGGCGAACGGGUGAGUAACGCGUGAGGAACCUGCCUCAAAGAGGGGGACAACAGUUGGAAACGACUGCUAAUACCGCAUAAGCCCACGGCUCGGCAUCGAGCAGGGGGAAAAGGAGCAAUCCGCUUUGAGAUGGCCUCGCGUCCGAUUAGCUAGUUGGUGAGGUAACGGCCCACCAAGGCGACGAUCGGUAGCCGGACUGAGAGGUUGAACGGCCACAUUGGGACUGAGACACGGUCCAGACUCCUACGGGAGGCAGCAGUGGGGAAUAUUGCACAAUGGGGGAAACCCUGAUGCAGCGACGCCGCGUGGAGGAAGAAGGUCUUCGGAUUGUAAACUCCUGUUGUUGGGGAAGAUAAUGACGGUACCCAACAAGGAAGUGACGGCUAACUACGUG